UGGGGAAUAUUGGACAAUGGGCGAAAGCCUGAUCCAGCCAUGCCGCGUGUGUGAAGAAGGUCUUCGGAUUGUAACGCACUUUAAGUUGGGAGGAAGGGCAUUAACCUAAUACGUUAGUGUUUUGACGUUACCGACAGAAUAAGCACCGGCUAACUCUGUGCCAGCAGCCGCGGUAAUACAGAGGGUGCAAGCGUUAAUCGGAAUUACUGGGCGUAAAGCGCGCGUAGGUGGUUUGUUAAGUUGGAUGUGAAAUCCCCGGGCUCAACCUGGGAACUGCAUUCAAAACUGACUGACUAGAGUAUGGUAGAGGGUGGUGGAAUUUCCUGUGUAGCGGUGAAAUGCGUAGAUAUAGGAAGGAACACCAGUGGCGAAGGCGACCACCUGGACUAAUACUGACACUGAGGUGCGAAAGCGUGGGGAGCAAACA
This 427-nucleotide ribosomal RNA is filed under the name uncultured bacterium. RNAcentral's name for it is "partial 16S ribosomal RNA". It matches the Rfam family "Bacterial small subunit ribosomal RNA", at positions 355 to 774 of the family's 1533-position model. The record is from RNAcentral.